UACGUAGGGUGCAAGCGUUGUCCGGAAUUAUUGGGCGUAAAGAGCUCGUAGGCGGCUUGUCACGUCGACUGUGAAAACCCGGGGCUCAACUCCGGGCCUGCAGUCGAUACGGGCUGGCUUGAGUGCGGUAGGGGAGACUGGAAUUCCUGGUGUAGCGGUGAAAUGCGCAGAUAUCAGGAGGAACACCGGUGGCGAAGGCGGCUCACUGGCCCGGUACUGACGCUGAGGUGCGAAAGCGUGGGGAGCAAACAGG
This 253-nucleotide ribosomal RNA is filed under the name uncultured bacterium. Its description in RNAcentral is "partial 16S ribosomal RNA". It matches the Rfam family "Bacterial small subunit ribosomal RNA", at positions 524 to 776 of the family's 1533-position model. The record is from RNAcentral.